Molecule: ribosomal RNA, 434 nt
Filed under: uncultured bacterium
Lineage: Bacteria
Description: bacterial SSU rRNA
Rfam family: Bacterial small subunit ribosomal RNA
Source: RNAcentral
GAACGCGAAGAACCUUACAGGUCUUGACAUCCCUCUGACCGCUCUAGAGAUAGAGUUUUCCUUCGGGACAGAGGUGACAGGUGGUACAUGGUUGUCGUCAGCUCGUGUCGUGAGAUGUUGGGUUAAGUCCCGCAACGAGCGCAACCCCUAUUGUUAGUUGCCAUCAUUUAGUUGGGCACUCUAGCGAGACUGCCGGUAAUAAACCGGAGGAAGGUGGGGAUGACGUCAAAAAUCAUCAUGCCCCUUAUGACCUGGGCUACACACGUGCUACAAUGGCUGGUACAACGAGUCGCAAGCCGGUGACGGCAAGCUAAUCUCUUAAAGCCAGUCUCAGUUCGGAUUGUAGGCUGCAACUCGCCUACAUGAAGUCGGAAUCGCUAGUAAUCGCGGAUCAGCACGCCGCGGUGAAUACGUUCCCGGGUCUUGUACACACC